CCGAUGGAUGAAGAAGAUCUCGUGGCAUAUAUCCUGAACGGCCUCGACGAGGAGUUUGAACCGGUGGUCUCCAGUAUAGUGGGACGGGUUGAUCCCGUACCACUGACUGAGGUCUUCUCCCAGCUGCUGCACUUUGAGA
Leersia perrieri is the source of this 139-nucleotide small nucleolar RNA. It matches the Rfam family "Small nucleolar RNA Z247". From Rfam's summary of the family: Z247 is a member of the C/D class of snoRNA which contain the C (UGAUGA) and D (CUGA) box motifs. NCBI's taxonomy places the organism in Eukaryota, Viridiplantae, Streptophyta, Magnoliopsida, Poales, Poaceae. The record is from Rfam.